ACACUUCCAAAACCCUCUUCUGCCAUUAUCGCCCCAAAGGCUAUUCUUCUUCGCAAGCUUCACUGUUGUAUUUUGGAAAUUUUCUCCCCGUAGGAUUCUUUGAGUUUUCUCUCUAAUGUCGGAUGCAACGCCACUCAACAGACUACCCAGAGGUUUAUCAGCAUCCAAAGUUGAUGAAAGAAGAAGUAAAAUACACAAGGACAAGUUGAAAGAAGUUCAAGUUGAUGAAGCUUCAAAAGAAACCAAAAAUCAACUUGGCUCAAAGAGGAAAAAACCUAUGAAAGAUUCAAGAAACCAAAAGGUAAUUGGUAUUUGUUACAUGUAUUCUGUUGUAUUCAUAUCUAUCUUCUUGUAUUUUUGUACCUUUUUGUAUAGUGUAUUCUGUUUCUUCUACAGUAUGUUUAUGUAUUCAUAUGUAUUUGGUUGUUUCCAACAGUUCAUUUUUAAUGUAA
Non-coding RNA from Nicotiana tabacum (common tobacco), 452 nucleotides. The record is from RefSeq and is a predicted model, not a curated record. NCBI's taxonomy places the organism in Eukaryota, Viridiplantae, Streptophyta, Magnoliopsida, Solanales, Solanaceae.